CAAAAUUCCAGACCCCAACAUUCUAGACUUCCACAUUCCACAACUAAACAUUGUAGAACCCCAAAUUCCAGAGCCCAACAUUCUAGUACCCAAAAUUUCAAAACCCAACAUUCUAGAACCCAACAUUGUAGAACCCUACAUUCUGGAUCAAAGCAUUCCAGUAUCAAGCAUUUCAGAAUGGGGAUUCAAGAACCAAGCAUUCCGUAAGCCUCCUUCAUUGUUGCAAUGCUAAAAGUUGUGUUUCUCUUCUUAAAAUUAUUAAUUUUCCCUCAAGGAGACUGACCAAUCAGAGCUGUCCUGGUGUGCUGUUCAGAACAGCUUAAAGUCCCCUCCUUAAAUGGAUUAAUCCAUCACAGCUUUACCUGAAACCCCAGACUACAUUUAAUGUGGCUGUCGAAGACUUUACCCUUACAUUCGUUUAUAAAAACGAAAAAAGGCUUAAUGCUACCUCUUUAAGGUGACUUUUUAAUACCACACUGUGAAAUACUUCACCUUCCUCAGUCAUUUAACCGUCCAAUCACACGAACUGAGUCAAAGUUCUAAUAAAAUUGAAUGUUUUAUUUGAAAAAUAUUUCGUUAAAAAUAUUAGGGCAGACUUUUUUGUCUCAGUUGAGCUCUGACAACAACACAACCUUAACACUAAACCAAAAACUCCCUGAACAUGAAGGUUAGUGAUUAAUUAUUAGUCACAUUUUUAGGCUUUUCUCCACAUUUUUAAAUAUUUUCUGCUAAAACUUUAAUUUUAAAACAUAGAAAGCCCAGAUUUGUGUUACUUCUUUCUACCUUAAUUUGCAGAGAGUUAUGUAACUUUGAGCCUUCAAUAGCAGUAAUCUUUCUCAUUAAGGUCGUUUUUAGACCCCUUGGUUUUUUUUGGGAGGGGGUUGGGACUCUUACUCUAAAGACGCUGUCAUGCACAAGGCAAAAAUCAGUUCAGAAACGUUUAAACUCAGAGUUGAAGCUGCUGGUGGGUCAUUGAAAAGCAGUAAGGUUUUCUCUUUGUCGAUGGAAAAAAUAAUCAGGAUAAAGUUUCAGUCUGUGAAACCCUUCAGAGCCUCAGUGUCUGAGCUGGAGUCCAGAGCCACAAACCUGAACCGCCUCUUAAUAAUACAGGAGCUGAAACUGAUCUGAGACCAGCAGACAGCUGCUUCAUUUCGGAAUUUAGACCCUUUUUUACUCCCUCCACCAGAGACAGCGCCGUGCAGCUCCAUUUAUUUAUUAGAAGAUAAAAAUGAAUUUGCAUCAGAAAGACUCUGUAUUUCAAAACCUCCACAUGAAUCCUCUCCGAUCACCGUUUGCUGUGAAAGUUUGAGGCAUGAGUCAGCAGGUGUUUAGAGGACUUCAGGAAUCAGUUUAUCUUUUCAUAAAACCACAAAGUGUGUUUUUUAAGUUAACCCUUUGUUUGACCAUAUGAUUAUUGAAGCUUAUCAGAUCAGAGAGCUUCUGCAUGCUGAGUAGAGGAGUUUUUAUCCAGCUGAGUAAAAGUCAGGCAGAGAGCAUGUUUAUAACAGGAACUUAAACUCACAAACUUUACACAUUCCAUAUUAAUUAACAGUGGAGACAGAUAUUAAGAACGUCUACUAAAAAACUUUUAAAGACAUGGGUUUCUUAUCUGACAACUUUGUACACAGAAAGGUCUCAAAAGAGGUGAAAGUUUAGUUUACAACUUACAAAAGUACCCAGAAGUUUUAGACAAUUUCUUAUCGAUGGCAGAAACACCAAUAUGAUAACAGACACAGGAGCGUUUUAACUGAACAUACUACAUUAAAACAAGAACAAAGAACAACACAUUUCAGCACUUAUCUAAAAUCACGUCUUUCUCAUUCACAUGCAGUCAAGGAUAAGAAAUGUUCCUCUUCUUCUGGAACUUUUUGGUUGGAAGGAUGUUGUUUCUGGACCGUGGCACAGUUCUGGUCCCUGUCUGUAAAGGUUCCCAGUCCUUUAGGGAGAGCCUCUGCAGUGUGAACGUGUCUUAACUGAGAAACAUUUGAAUUGUUGUGCAUGAACGCUGACUGCAGUGAGGCCUGACUCUGCUUGUUUGGAAGGAAGUCACCUUGAAUAUUAAUUCUAUAUAUCAUUGUCAGUGACCUGUGACAGCUGGCUGUAACAAACGAGGGUUUGAUUGAACAGAUGGGAGAGACGGUGCAUACUGAUGGUCAACACAGAUUUUUUAAAAAGUGCUUCUUUCACAAUCUGAAACUCCUCAGAGUCUGAGGAAUGCAGACCUGGACCUGUUUGUUUAAAUCGGAAUUACGAUCAGUUACAACCUGCUGACAUACAACAUAACAUUCGUCACCUGUCUAUUUUUCUGUGAGGGUCAUGUGACCACAGACAGACAGGUUUGUACACACCUGGGGUCUAAAACUUCUCACUCUGAGAAAUGUGCAUGUGUAAGCUUGCUGCGAGCGUCUGACUGGUUUUUCUAGGUUUUUCCUUUUUAUUCACGACUGCAUGUUUACUCAGCAGAGGGGGGGAGAUGAAAAGUGAGGGAGGGUUUUCAAACAGCUCAGACACAAACAGAGUCCUUCUCUAAAAUAGCAGUCUGUUUCAAACCAAGCAUUUAUGAAACUUUAAUAAAGCUCUAAGAUGAUCUUUUUCAUUUUAAAACAGGCCCCUAUUAAAUAAGAGGAGUUGAACUUUUGCCCUGAGGCCCUGCUCUGUCAGUGACUCAGACUGUGGGACACCAGCGGUGAGACUUGGUUAACUUGGUCUAUUGGAAUGAAACCUCUACGGAAGCCACUCAUGGCCCAAACAGCCAUGCCAGGCCCUGCAGAUGAACUAAACCCAAAUUCCAUUAACCGUAAAAUCUUUUUACUUAAUUCUAAAAAUAGUUCAUGAAACCGAAAUUUAUUAACGAAAAAUUAAAAAAUCAGAAAAAUUCAAACAAUUUUAAAAAACUAGUUCACCAAACAUGUAAACAAAUGCAAAAACUUUUAAAGAAUGUUUGAAAUUUUUGCCAACAAAGUAUGAAAUAUUUAAGCAUUUAUUUUUUUUUUUUUUGUCUGUCUAUGAAGAUUUUGGUCUAUGGUUUUGGUCCAUGUUUUUAUACAAAAAGUUUGGCUUUGGCAAAAUAUUUUAGUGUUUCAUUAAAUGUUUUUUAAGUUCCCUGAAAAUUCUUUUAAAGGUAUUUUUGCAAUUCAUGAUAAAUUUUAUAAAAUAUUAAUGUGAUUAGUGAAGUACACUGGUAUUUAAUCAAGUAUUUGUUCAUUUUUGAAAUACUUAAGUGUCAAUCCAAUCAGGACCACUGCUGAGAAGAGAGACAAAGUGACAUUUUCAGAAGCUGAAACAUCUCUUGACACUUUAACAUUUAAUCGACUGAAACAUUUGAUCAAUUGUCAAUAAACUUCUCAAAUAAUCCUCUUUGGGUUGGAAUGAUCCAGCCUUGUUAUAGCUGUCAAGACAGCUGAGUUAUACGGUACAACAUGAAAGUCCAGUCAGAGCUCCUGGUGUUGCUGAUGCUUGUUCUGAGUCUAAACUUGUGAUUGUUGCAACAGAGUGAGUACGGAAGCUGCUCAGCUGUGAGUUGAACAUAAAUAGAUGAUUCUGAGGUUAUUGAUUCUCACUGGUGAAGUUUUGUGGGAGCGGUGGGCAGCCGUCUUGAAGUCCCUCUUUUAGCUCGUACAGGAAGCUCAUGAUAGCUCCUGGCGAGCUGCUGAAAGACUGAACAGACAGAGGAGUCAGAGCUCCUCUCUAGUCUGCUGUGGUUUUUACACUGCUGACUCUCACCACAUCUUUCCUGUGACAACCAUAAAAAACAGAGCAACUCUUCAGCCUGCAGUCUGGUCAUGUGGUGACAGUGUUUACAGAGAAUCGUCUGAGGUGGAGAGGCUGGUGAUAGCACAGAUAUGCUGUCUCCAUAGUGAUUCACUUUGAAUGAGUGUGCAGUAUUGUUGCUGGCAGAAUAUCUGUGUUCAUUACAGAUCGCUCAGAUUUGUUUUGCAUUUGCUUGAAAAACUGUAAGAAGGAAGCUAAUGCAAAGAUACUGUUAACCUGCUUUCAAACACAUAUCAACAGCGCCACCUGCUGUAAAAGCAGUCCCAUUGUAAAGCAGUUGAUAAGAAGAUAGUCUUACUUCUCAGUGGAUUUAACAUUUAUCUAAUGAGUUUGUGGUCUCAGUCUCUGGUGUACAGUUUUCUUCGAUACAGCAUGAUGUUCAGUUCAGUCAGGACCACUUUUGUGUUUAUUAUCUGCAUGCAUAAACUUAAAUGCAGUGAUAUGGCUUUGUUCUGAGGGCAUUACACAUGUGUAUGUCGAAUGCCAAAGCCUGAGGCAGGGAGAGCAGCAGCAAAGACCCCCCAGGGUAGAGCUCCCUGCGUCUCCAUAAGCGCAAGUCCAAUGCCAAGCCAGAGGCAGAUAGAUCACACCUCCCCUCUGUUUUAUGUGCGUACAUGACAAGCCAAGGCAGGCAGAGCAGCAGCAAAGACCAAGGUGGAUUGCAGAGCGGUUUGCAGAGGUAGCAGGAAGAGUCAGCAGGCAAAGGAGUGUAAUGACUGUCAGCUGACAUUAAGAUCAGCUUGACUUUAUAACUUGCCUGAACCAUCUCUGCUGGGUCUUGUUAGUUAUGGUCCUAUUAGGAGCUGGGAUGAUAGCUAUGAUUGACAAGUCACUUUUAUGGUGACAAAAUCCUGAUUUGGACAACCUUCUAUGAUCAUCUCUUUUUCCAAGAUGGCAGCUGCCAGGGCAAACUUGAGGUUCCAAAAUGGUGUCUAUGACCCACAAAGUGGUGUUACAGUGUCUACCUCCUAUAUAAGGUCUACAGUUACCUCUGCUCAGCUUGGUUUGGGUAUUUAAGUUUGUAGGAGGUCUAUUGGAGCCUCAGUUUGCAUCGAUAUACAGUAUAUACAGUCUGCUCGGUUUCUUCAGGUUCAGUUUGGGAACAAAGUUCUGUAAACAGCUCUUCAUGAUUUGAAGAGCUCUCAUUGUAGCUCCGUAAAACAUUGAACUCUUGACUGACUGAUGUGUAGAGUCCCAAACAAAGAGUUCUUACACAGACCAGCAGAGUGUGCCCAGUGUGAAUAGUUUCCCCUUACAGUAGUCGGCCUGUCGGGGGGGAUAGGGUGUACAGCAUUGUGUUUGGAUGGCUGCUUCCUCUGUUUCCUCUGAUGAAAGGGGGACUGUUCACUGACUCUAAGAGACGCUAAGUCAAAGGGAGAACGAUAGAGACCUAACAAAGUUUUAGAAUGAAAGUGACAAACCUGUGUUCACACAUGGUCUCUUUUUUUCCAGGCAAACAUUAUAAUGUAAUGAUGAUGUGGUUCAGAGUGAUGAAACUGGCUUAAAGGUGACAGUCCCAGACCAUGGAGAGGUCAGACAGGAACUUCACCUGAAAGAUUAAAACUUAAUCUUUGUAGUUCCCGUGCCUAAACACAACUCAACACUUUGUUUUCCUUUGACCUUUUUGACCAACCUUGAAAAACAGCUGAUGAGGGGUACCUUAACAUGGACCUAACCUCCCGUAGAAAGCCCAGAAACAGACCUUGAAACAUCCACUGAAGGGUUUGCUUAAAUGAACCGAGCAACAUUUUUGAAGAUGCAGAAAACUUACAUUAUGAGUGCUGGUUCAGGGUACCUAAACACAGGAGCUCACAGACUCAAAGGUAUUGCUAUAUUAAGGGUACCUUCAAACAUGGAAUUGGUAUCCCCAAACAGCUGCCCCAGAGUAACUCAAAACACACCAUGUAGUAUGUUACAACACAAAGUCUUGUUUGGGGUACCUAAAAAAGAUAGAUGAGGGUACACAAACUCCAAGCCUGCACCUUUUAAGGCCUAUGCAUGGUUCUCAAAACAAACACAACAACACUAUGAAAAAUUAAGGUAAUAGACAGUGCAACCAUUGCUUCAGGGUACUAAACACAGACCUGCGGAUAAGUACCUCAAAACAGACAUGAAACUGAAAACUUAAAAAAAAUCAUCAUGAGUAAAUGAGGAAGGAAACUUCUCCAAAAACUGCUUCAGUGUUUUUACUACUAUUUAAAUGCCCCUCAAGGGUACCUAGAAACAUACAGAACUUAAUACCUGGAGUUCUCCAGACCUGACUUUGUAGUAUGUUAAAACUUUUUAUUUAAAAUGCUUCAGAGCUGCUGACGGGUACCUCGCGACAGCUGCUUUAGGCUUCCUUAAAAGAGACACAUAAGGGUACCUAAAAACAGAUGAACUGUACCUCAGAAAGCCUCUGAAGGGUAUCAUCAGAAUCUACUAAAGGGUACUGAAACAGACACCCAAGAUCCACAAAGGGAUGGAACAGACCUCAAAACACCUGCUAACUUGAAAUAAGGUUUAAAGGUACUUAAAGACACAUCUGAGUACUUGUAACACUAUCAGUUUUAUGCCACCAACAUCUCUAUCAGAGAACAGAACAUGUGAAACUCUGACCGACUGUGCUUUCAUUACUGACCAAGUUAAAUCAGAAAACUGUCAACAAUAAGAAACAUCUGUACAGAAAUGUUGUUUUUUUCCACAACAGAUACAUAAAAAAAACUGUAUAACUGACACUUAACUGAUGUCCGGGUAACCAAAGAAGAAACACUGAUAGAAAAACAGCUGCAGUCAUGACCAUUCAUUUAAGGCCUUAUUGGAUGCAGUCUUGUUAUGGAGGGCUGAGUGUAUUUAAUUUUGCUAAAUGUCACUUUACAUACUGUAUUAAUUAUAUCAGCCCACUCAUUCAGUCAGUGUUGAAUACCAUUCAGUUAGGGCUGGUCUAGGAUUCAGCAUUAUUGAUUAAACUCUAGUGUAAGGCUUUUGGUUUAUGUUCAAAUUUUUAAAACAAAAUAUGAUUUUGAAGAUCAUGUAAAGUAUUAAAAACAUUGUAAAACAUUUAAUUAUUUUCAGUGAAUCGCAAUAUGUAUGGAUGAUAACACAAUUCAGGUUUCAGUCAUGCCAUCCAAUACCCCAAACAUAAGUAUCAGUGUUUCUGAAUGAAGGUGGGUUAGACUUGAAUAACAGAAAUGUGGUACUUUCUGAUCAGCUGUUUAGUGACAUAAUUAUAUCAGGAGAAAAAGGACAAAAAAGAACAUUCAAAAGUAUCUGUUUUUAACAUUUAAAAUGUGAACAAUUCUGCAAUAUAUGUGGUAUUUGAAUAUUUCAUGUGAAAUAUUUGGGAAAGAAAGUUUUCUCUUAAGAAUAACAUGUGAAUCCAACUAAAAAUCUCCUGGACAUUUGCUGCAGAACAUCCAAGAACAAGAUAUUUUUCCUCACAAGUGGAUUUUUUAUAUUUCUUAUAUUUCACAUGUGAAACCAUUUGAAUUGUAAAUUUUUUUAAAUAUUUUACAUUAAAGAUUUGUUGUUUUUUGGGUGCAUCAACAAACUAUUCAAGGGCGCACCUAUCAAACAGCUGAAAUGUGAAUGAAUAAUUGGUACGUGUGGAUUUCAUAUUUCACAUGUGAAAUACUUGAAAGUCAAAAAAGGUUCCACUUUAUCAUGAUGGAUCAUGAUUUGAACAAUGAGCCUGUAAACAUUUGUUUCCCAAUGUUGCACAGGUGAAAUUUCAUUUUUUGUACAUUUCACAUGUGCCACAGCAAGAGAUUUCUUUGAAUUUUACAUGUCCAAGAAUUAAAAUGAUAAGAGAUGUGGAUCACAUAAUAGUUCAAAGAUAUGUUAUUUUCUAGUGGCACAUGUGUCAGACAAUUGACCAGGAGAUGUGUUUGUCAUAUGUGGCACAUGUGAAAUACCUGAAUUUUAAAAAAAUUUGAACAUACCACAGGAUGUAUUGAACAGUACAUGAUCUGAACAACUGAAAUAUGAAAGAUCCAAGUAUAAGUUCUUUACCACUUUUUAACAUGUGAAAUUUCAAUUGUGUUUCAUUUCACAUGUGAUCAUUUAAAGGGAGAUUUUAUUUUGUUUGUUUGUUCUCAACACGUCACAUCUGAAUGCAAGUGUUUUUUGGUAGUUUCACAUGUGAAAUAAUGGAAGUUAUCAGUGAUUUCGAAAGUUUUCCAUGUGAUACAUCUAAAGACAUACAGUAUGUUAUUUUUAUAUAUGAAACAUUUUAAGACCUCUGUGGUCUUAAAAUGAUUAAUCUGUUAAACAUGAUUAAAGCAGAAGGAAGUACAGAAGCGUGACAUUAUCGUUGAACAUUGAUGUAAAGAAAUCAUCAUUUACCUCAGCUUCACAUUUAUGUGUUUUUAUUUUAACUCAGAUAAGUAUGGGGCCUUUUAUUGGAUCUUUAAUUCCAUCUGUAUUUCUUGUUAUUCAGAUCUGCUGAGUUAGCGUUAAAGACACAGCAGUAACAGUGGCCUGAAAGUGUCUUUAACGUCUUUAAAGUCAUUAAAAUGUGAGGACGUUGUGGUCCUUUAUUUUCUGUUUUUAAGUCCCCAGUCACACAAACAAACUCAGUCUAAAUGAAACAGUGUGUUAUUUCCUGCCCACUCUCCUCACACACUCACACAGAAAUACUGAUAGGCUCAGUAUGAACUCCUCCAGUGUCUCUAAAACGGUACUGUGACUGUAUGUAGCGUGUUCCUCGUGUUCAAGGUUUCAUAUGUGAACAUGUUUGUUGUAUCAGGUGCAUCUCGUGUCUUCAGCUCUUCAUGGGCAGCAGCUCUGCUUCUCAGUGUGACUCACCUUCAUCAUGCUCAUUGUACUCAAACAGCUCCCCUCUGAGCUGCAGGUCAUCGCUAAGAGGAGAAACCUGAUGGAUCUGAUUUACUCUGAAGCUCUCACAGACUGAGCUGAAAGUCUCAGAGUUCAUUCACAGAGCAGCAGAGAGCUCCGGCUUGGAUUUUACUUGAAACUGUAUUUUUGUUGAAUUUGUAGUGAAUCACACUGACUGUGUGGACCCUUCAGUUUUUUUCUUGUACUGAAUAAAGAGCAACAGUUCUUAAACUUCAC
RNAcentral lists this long non-coding RNA (8823 nucleotides) under Xyrichtys novacula (pearly razorfish). Lineage: Eukaryota; Metazoa; Chordata; Actinopteri; Labriformes; Labridae. The record is from RNAcentral.